UACGGAAGGUUCGGGCGUUAUCCGGAUUUAUUGGGUUUAAAGGGAGCGCAGGUGGGCUGUUAAGUCAGCCGUGAAAGUUCGAUGCUCAACAUUGAAAUUGCGGUUGAAACUGUCAGUCUUGAGUAAACGCAGCGGCGCUGGAAUUCGUGGUGUAGCGGUGAAAUGCUUAGAUAUCACGAAGAACUCCGAUCGCGAAGGCAGGUGCCGGGAGUUAUACUGACACUGAGGCUCGAAAGUGCGGGUAUCAAAC
Molecule: ribosomal RNA, 250 nt
Filed under: uncultured prokaryote
Description: partial 16S ribosomal RNA
Rfam family: Bacterial small subunit ribosomal RNA
Source: RNAcentral